CCUACGGGAGGCUGCAGUGGGGAAUAUUGGGCAAUGGGCGCAAGCCUGACCCAGCCACGCCGCGUGAAGGAUGAAGGCUUUCGGGUUGUUAACUUCUUUUUUCAGGGGCGAAGCAAGUGCCGGUACCUGACGAAUAAGCCAUGGCUAACUACGUGCCAGCAGCCGCGGUAAUACGGUGGUGGCCGGCGUUAUCCGGAUUUCUUGGGUGUAAAGGGCGGGUAGGGGGGAAGGGAAGUCAGAUGGGAAAACUAUGGGCUCAACCCAUAGCCUGCAGUUGAAACUGUAUUUCUUGAGUGCGGGAGAGGCAUUCGGAAUGCGGGGUGUAGCGGUGAAAUGCGUAGAUAUACGGAAGAACACCAGUGGCGAAGGCAGAUUGCUGGACAGUAACUGACGCUGAGGCGCGAAAGCGUGGGGAGCAAACAGGAUUAGAUACCCCAGUAGUC
RNAcentral lists this ribosomal RNA (443 nucleotides) under uncultured bacterium. RNAcentral's name for it is "partial 16S ribosomal RNA". It matches the Rfam family "Bacterial small subunit ribosomal RNA", at positions 338 to 795 of the family's 1533-position model. The record is from RNAcentral.